Molecule: ribosomal RNA, 466 nt
Filed under: uncultured bacterium
Lineage: Bacteria
Description: partial 16S ribosomal RNA
Rfam family: Bacterial small subunit ribosomal RNA
Source: RNAcentral
CGACCGCUGGCGGCGUGCUUAACACAUGCAAGUCGACCGGAAAGGCCCUGCUUUUGUGGGGUGCUCGAGUGGCGAACGGGUGAGUAACACGUGAGUAACCUGCCCUUGACUUUGGGAUAACUUCAGGAAACUGGGGCUAAUACCGGAUAGGAGCUCCUGCUGCAUGGUGGGGGUUGGAAAGUUUCGGCGGUUGGGGAUGGACUCGCGGCUUAUCAGCUUGUUGGUGGGGUAGUGGCUUACCAAGGCUUUGACGGGUAGCCGGCCUGAGAGGGUGACCGGCCACAUUGGGACUGAGAUACGGCCCAGACUCCUACGGGAGGCAGCAGUGGGGAAUAUUGCACAAUGGGCGGAAGCCUGAUGCAGCAACGCCGCGUGCGGGAUGAAGGCCUUCGGGUUGUAAACCGCUUUCGCCUGUGACGAAGCGUGAGUGACGGUAAUGGGUAAAGAAGCACCGGCUAACUACGUG